UGGCGAACGGGUGAGUAACGCGUGAGGAACCUGCCUCAAAGAGGGGGACAACAGUUGGAAACGACUGCUAAUACCGCAUAAGCCCACGGCUCGGCAUCGAGCAGAGGGAAAAGGAGCAAUCCGCUUUGAGAUGGCCCCGCGUCCGAUUAGCUAGUUGGUGAGGUAACGGCCCACCAAGGCGACGAUCGGUAGCCGGACUGGGAGGUUGAACGGCCACAUUGGGACUGAGACACGGCCCAG
This 240-nucleotide ribosomal RNA is filed under the name uncultured bacterium. Its description in RNAcentral is "partial 16S ribosomal RNA". It matches the Rfam family "Bacterial small subunit ribosomal RNA", at positions 96 to 334 of the family's 1533-position model. The record is from RNAcentral.